Molecule: ribosomal RNA, 427 nt
Filed under: uncultured bacterium
Lineage: Bacteria
Description: bacterial SSU rRNA
Rfam family: Bacterial small subunit ribosomal RNA
Source: RNAcentral
UGGGGAAUUUUGGACAAUGGGCGCAAGCCUGAUCCAGCCAUGCCGCGUGCAGGAUGAAGGCCUUCGGGUUGUAAACUGCUUUUGUACGGAACGAAAAGACUCCUUCUAAUAAAGGGGGUCCAUGACGGUACCGUAAGAAUAAGCACCGGCUAACUACGUGCCAGCAGCCGCGGUAAUACGUAGGGUGCAAGCGUUAAUCGGAAUUACUGGGCGUAAAGCGUGCGCAGGCGGUUAUGCAAGACAGAGGUGAAAUCCCCGGGCUCAACCUGGGAACUGCCUUUGUGACUGCAUAGCUAGAGUACGGUAGAGGGGGAUGGAAUCCCGCGUGUAGCAGUGAAAUGCGUAGAGAUGUGGAUGAAUACCGAUGGCGAAGGCAGCCCCCUGGGCCAAUACUGACGCUCAUGCACGAAAGCGUGGGGAGCAAACA